Molecule: ribosomal RNA, 301 nt
Filed under: uncultured bacterium
Lineage: Bacteria
Description: partial 16S ribosomal RNA
Rfam family: Bacterial small subunit ribosomal RNA
Source: RNAcentral
CAGCCGCCGCGGGAAUACGUAGGUGGCAAGCGUUGUCCGGAAUUAUUGGGCGUAAAGGGCUCGCAGGCGGUUUCUUAAGUCUGAUGUGAAAGCCCCGGCUCAACCGGGGAGGGUCAUUGGAAACUGGGAAACUUGAGUGCAGAAGAGGAGAGUGGAAUUCCACGUGUAGCGGUGAAAUGCGUAGAGAUGUGGAGGAACACCAGUGGCGAAGGCGACUCUCUGGUCUGUAACUGACGCUGAGGAGCGAAAGCGUGGGGAGCGAACAGGAUUAGAUACCCCCGUAGUCCCUGUCUCUUAUACA